GAUGAACGCUGGCGGCGUGCCUAAUACAUGCAAGUCGAGCGAACAGAUAAGGAGCUUGCUCCUUUGACGUUAGCGGCGGACAGGUGAGUAACACGUGGGUACCCUACCUAUAAGACUGGAAUAACUCCGGGAAACCGGGGAUAAUGCCGGAUAACAUUUAGAACCGCAGGGUUCUAAAGUGAAAGAUGGUUUUGCUAUCACUAAUAGAUGGACCCGCGCCGUAUUAGCUAGUUGGUAAGGUAACGGCUUACCAAGGCAACGAUACGUAGCCGACCUGAGAGGGUGAUCGGCCACACUGGAACUGAGACACGGUCCAGACUCCUACGGGAGGCAGCAGUAGGGAAUCUUCCGCAAUGGGCGAAAGCCUGACGGAGCAACGCCGCGUGAGUGAUGAAGGUCUUCGGAUCGUAAAACUCUGUUAUUAGGGAAGAACAAAUGUGUAAGUAACUGUGCACGUCUUGACGGUACCUAAUCAGAAAGCCACGGCUAACUACGUG
RNAcentral lists this ribosomal RNA (497 nucleotides) under uncultured bacterium. Its description in RNAcentral is "partial 16S ribosomal RNA". It matches the Rfam family "Bacterial small subunit ribosomal RNA", at positions 28 to 507 of the family's 1533-position model. The record is from RNAcentral.